This 460-nucleotide ribosomal RNA is filed under the name uncultured bacterium. RNAcentral describes it as "partial 16S ribosomal RNA". It matches the Rfam family "Bacterial small subunit ribosomal RNA", at positions 338 to 795 of the family's 1533-position model. The record is from RNAcentral.
CCUACGGGUGGCAGCAGUGAGGAAUAUUGGUCAAUGGGCGCAAGCCUGAACCAGCCAUGCCGCGUGCAGGAAGACGGCUCUACGAGUUGUAAACUGCUUUUGUACGAGGGUAAACGCCCUUACGCGUAUCGGUUUGAAAGUAUCGUACGAAUAAGGAUCGGCUAACUCCGUGCCAGCAGCCGCGGUAAUACGGAGGAUUCAAGCGUUAUCCGGAUUUAUUGGGUUUAAAGGGUGCGUAGGCGGUCGGAUAAGUUAGAGGUGAAAUCCCGAUGCUCAACAUCGGAAUUGCCUCUGAUACUGUACGGCUAGAGAGUAGAUGCAGUAGGCGGAAUGUGUGGUGUAGCGGUGAAAUGCUUAGAGAUCACACAGAACACCGAGUGCGAAGGCAGCUUGCCAAGCUACAUCUGACGCUGAGGCACGAAAGCGUGGGGAGCGAACAGGAUUAGAUACCCGUGUAGUC